GGAUAGUGUUUCGGUGGUUAGAAAAUUUAAGGAUUUAAAAUAUCAUGGGUUAGGGGUUUUAAGAAAUACCCAAGUUCUAUAGUUUAGCGCCUUUGUUCUUAUUAGGAUUCUUCAACUUUGAUUUGGAUCAAUUUUGGGUCUGCAUGUUGCAAUUGAGGUUAAAAUUCUAAAGUUUUAUAAAUCUUUGAUUGAUUGAUCAAGUUUACGGUAUAGAUGAUGUAAGAAUUUGUCGCCAAGGGUUUGAGAGAAGGGUGUUUUCACAGGAAUUGAAGCUCUGGCUCUCGGUUGUGAGUUCCAUAAAUAUUUGAUUGUGCAAAUAUACAAUUAUUUGUAUUUUUUAUCGAUGAUCAAAAUGUGAUCAUAAUCAAUAUUUAUAUAUAGAUAAAUAACUGAAAGUUUUAGUUCUAGAGAUGGAAUAGGUAUGAGUGGUUAUUGAAAUCUGUUCUGUUGUGUUUUUUCUGCAGGAGAAGCAAGAAAUUACAAUUGAAAAAGCCAUGCGUAAUAAGCGGAAAUGUAUCACCACUGUGAAGGGGAUGCAACUUUUUGCGGAGUUCAAAGUCAAGAGGGAAAGAAAGCACAGAUUCCGGUUCACAAUUGAACAGUGCAAUUAAAUUCAGAGAUUGUUGGGACUUCUCAGGUUGAUUGCGACCUGGGUAAUCAGAAAAAAAAAAGAAGUGACUUUCUGGAGGAGAGUCCGACAAUACCAAACAAAAAUCCAAAAUUGCUCUUCAAAAGAUGGGUUAAGUGUAAAGUCAUUCAAUCAGUUCUUUUAUAUUCCCGGCUUUUAUUUGCAUAUGUUUUUUAUUUCUCAUAUUUUCAUUUUUGUGCAAUUAAUUUACUACUGUGUAAAUAUAUUGGAAGAUUUUUUUUGAAGUGAAAAUUGCCUUCUUUUUUUUUCUUCUCA
Malus domestica (apple) is the source of this 904-nucleotide non-coding RNA. NCBI's taxonomy places the organism in Eukaryota, Viridiplantae, Streptophyta, Magnoliopsida, Rosales, Rosaceae. The record is from RefSeq and is a predicted model, not a curated record.